Molecule: small RNA, 246 nt
Filed under: Staphylococcus aureus
Lineage: Bacteria; Bacillati; Bacillota; Bacilli; Caryophanales; Staphylococcaceae
Description: sprF3
Source: RNAcentral
CGGAUACAUGUUACCCUAGUGAGCCCGUUAAAAAGACGGUAGCAUUUUGAUAAAGUUUUUAAAACCAUUCUCUCUACUCUGCUAAAAGUUGGGAAUGGUUAUUUUUUUGAUUAUUAUUACUGAUUAGUACUAAACCGAUGAUUGUUAAUACAACCAUCAGCAUUUCAAAAUCAGACAUGCUAGUCCUUUCUAGGAGUAACAACUAUAACCAUAGGCAUCACCCCUUUAUUAAGAGAUUAGCCACCA